Molecule: ribosomal RNA, 505 nt
Filed under: uncultured bacterium
Lineage: Bacteria
Description: bacterial SSU rRNA
Rfam family: Bacterial small subunit ribosomal RNA
Source: RNAcentral
GGCCGUGCCUAAUACAUGCAAGUCGAACGGUCUUUCUAUGGAAGCUUGCUUCCACUGAGAAGAUAGUGGCGAACGGGUGAGUAACACGUGGGUAACCUGCCCAUAAGAGGGGGAUAACAUCCGGAAACGGGUGCUAAUACCGCAUAGUUUUCUUGAUCGCAUGAUUGAGAAAGGAAAGACGGCCUUUGUGCUGUCGCUUAUGGAUGGACCCGCGGCGUAUUAGUUAGUUGGUGAGGUAAUGGCUCACCAAGACGAUGAUACGUAGCCGACCUGAGAGGGUGAUCGGCCACAUUGGGACUGAGACACGGCCCAAACUCCUACGGGAGGCAGCAGUAGGGAGUCUUCCGCAAUGGACGAAAGUCUGACGGAGCAACGCCGCGUGAGUGAAGAAGGUUUUUCGGAUCGUAAAACUCUGUUGUCAGAGAAGAACAAGUUGGAGAGUAACUGCUCCAGCCUUGACGGUAUCUGACCAGAAAGCCACGGCUAACUACGUGCCAGCAGCAGC